GGUUAAGUUAGAAAGGGCGCACGGUGGAUGCCUUGGCACUAGGAGCCGAAGAAGGACGGGACUAACACCGAUAUGCUUUGGGGAGCUGUACGUAAGCGUUGAUCCAGAGAUUUCCGAAUGGGGGAACCCACUAUCUUUAGUCGGAUAGUAUCCUUACGUGAAUACAUAGCGUGAGGAAGGCAGACCCAGGGAACUGAAACAUCUAAGUACCUGGAGGAAGAGAAAGAAAAAUCGAUUUCCUGAGUAGCGGCGAGCGAAACGGAAAGAGCCCAAACCAAGAAGCUUGCUUCUUGGGGUUGUAGGACACUCUAUACGGAGUUACAAAAGAAAGUUAUAAAUGAAGCGGUCUGGAAAGGCCCGCCAAAGACGGUAACAGCCCGGUAGUUGAAAUGGCUUUCCCUCCAGAGUGGAUCCUGAGUACGGCGGAACACGUGAAAUUCCGUCGGAAUCCGGGAGGACCAUCUCCCAAGGCUAAAUACUCCCUAGUGACCGAUAGUGAACCAGUACCGUGAGGGAAAGGUGAAAAGCACCCCGGAAGGGGAGUGAAACAGUUCCUGAAACCGUGUGCCUACAAGUAGUUAGAGCCCGUUAAUGGGUGAUAGCGUGCCUUUUGUAGAAUGAACCGGCGAGUUACGAUUUGUUGCAAGGUUAAGCGGAAAAAGCGGAGCCGUAGCGAAAGCGAGUCUGAAUAGGGCGCAUAAGUAACAGGUCGUAGACCCGAAACCAGGUGAUCUACCCAUGUCCAGGAUGAAGGUAAGGUAAUACUUACUGGAGGUCCGAACCCACGCACGUUGAAAAGUGCGGGGAUGAGGUGUGGGUAGCGGAGAAAUUCCAAUCGAACUUGGAGAUAGCUGGUUCUCUCCGAAAUAGCUUUAGGGCUAGCCUCGAGGUAAAGAGUCAUGGAGGUAGAGCACUGUUUGGACUAGGGGCCCUUCUCGGGUUACCGAAUUCAGAUAAACUCCGAAUGCCAUGUACUUAUACUCGGGAGUCAGACUGCGAGUGAUAAGAUCCGUAGUCGAAAGGGCAACAGCCCAGACCACCAGUUAAGGUCCCCAAAUCUAUGUUAAGUGGAAAAGGAUGUGGGGUUGCUUAGACAACCAGGAUGUUGGCUUAGAAGCAGCCACCAUUGAAAGAGUGCGUAAUAGCUCACUGGUCGAGUGACCCCGCGCCGAAAAUGUACCGGGGCUAAACAUAUUACCGAAACUGUGGAUGAACCUCUUUAGAGGUUCGUGGUAGGAGAGCGUUCUAAGGGCGGUGAAGUCAGACCGGAAGGACUGGUGGAGCGCUUAGAAGUGAGAAUGCCGGUAUGAGUAGCGAAAGAAGGGUGAGAAUCCCUUCCACCGAAUAUCUAAGGUUUCCUGAGGAAGGCUCGUCCGCUCAGGGUUAGUCGGGACCUAAGCCGAGGCCGAUAGGCGUAGGCGAUGGACAACAGGUAGAGAUUCCUGUACCAGUGCUAAUUGUUUAACCGAUGGGGUGACACAGAAGGAUAGGGAAUCGCACGAAUGGAAAUGUGCGUCCAAGCAGUGAGUGUGAGAAGUAGGCAAAUCCGCUUCUCGCGAAGCAUGAGCUGUGAUGGGGAAGGAAAUUAAGUACGGAAGUUCCUGAUUUCACGCUGUCAAGAAAAGCCUCUAGGAAGAGUAGUACUGCCCGUACCGCAAACCGACACAGGUAGAUGAGGAGAGAAUCCUAAGGUGAGCGAGAGAACUCUCGUUAAGGAACUCGGCAAAAUGACCCCGUAACUUCGGGAGAAGGGGUGCUCUAUUAGGGUGCAAGCCCGAGAGAGCCGCAGUGAAUAGGCCCAGGCGACUGUUUAGCAAAAACACAGGUCUCUGCAAAACCGUAAGGUGACGUAUAGGGGCUGACGCCUGCCCGGUGCUGGAAGGUUAAGAGGAGUGCUUAGCUUCGGCGAAGGUACGAAUUGAAGCCCCAGUAAACGGCGGCCGUAACUAUAACGGUCCUAAGGUAGCGAAAUUCCUUGUCGGGUAAGUUCCGACCCGCACGAAAGGCGCAACGAUCUGGGCACUGUCUCAACGAGAGACUCGGUGAAAUUAUAGUACCUGUGAAGAUGCAGGUUACCCGCGACAGGACGGAAAGACCCCGUGGAGCUUUACUGCAACCUGAUAUGGAAUGUUUGUACCGCUUGUACAGGAUAGGUAGGAGCCGAAGAGACGUGUGCGCUAGCAUACGAGGAGGCAAUGGUGGGAUACUACCCUGGCUGUAUGACCAUUCUAACCCGCCACGCUUAGCGCGUGGGGAGACAGUGUCAGGUGGGCAGUUUGACUGGGGCGGUCGCCUCCUAA
RNAcentral lists this ribosomal RNA (2300 nucleotides) under Listeria monocytogenes. Its description in RNAcentral is "partial 23S ribosomal RNA". It matches the Rfam family "Bacterial large subunit ribosomal RNA", at positions 1 to 2293 of the family's 2925-position model. The record is from RNAcentral. Lineage: Bacteria; Bacillati; Bacillota; Bacilli; Caryophanales; Listeriaceae.